Long non-coding RNA from Mustela erminea (ermine), 1768 nucleotides. RefSeq lists it as uncharacterized. The transcript has 4 exons. NCBI's taxonomy places the organism in Eukaryota, Metazoa, Chordata, Mammalia, Carnivora, Mustelidae. The record is from RefSeq and is a predicted model, not a curated record.
CGCGCACACACACAGCACUACCCCCUCUCCUCCCCCACCCCCCCGCUUCUUGGCGUUGCCGGGUGCAGGAGUCUGAAUUAAGCUAGACCCAUCUUUCAGACCCCGUCCUGCCCCCUCAGAGCCAGGACUCCCUCCCCCGCCUCCCCUUCCUCUCCCGGUUUAUUGCUCAGCAUCCCCUCCCCUGCGCGACCCCUCCCUCCCCCCCGCGCCCAAGCCGCGAUCGCAGUGGGGUGGGCUUUCAGGGGUGCGGGUCCGGAGGUGGCAAACGUGAAGCCGGUGGCGGUCCCUCCCUUUACGAGUUCCGCCCUCCUCCUUUCCUCCUCCCCCAGCCACCGAGCCUUCUCCGCCCGCUCGCGCCGAAGGCGGCAGGAGGGGUUAAGGGCUCGGGGCGUCACGUGGGACGUUCACCAAACCACUCAGAGGAGCGUGUGAGUGAACGGCCCGGCCGCCGAGCCGCGAGGCCGCGGCGCGACGGGUGUCUCUGCUGCUAGCGUCAUUAUGCUCGUCUUCCCGGCUCUUCGCCUUGGCAGAGGCAGAGGAGGCUCCCGGCCGCGGCGUGGGUUGUAGCCCCGAUUGUGGGCUAGUGUAGAUGAAAUGCCACUACCGUUGGCCUCGUGCUCCUGGCUGUUCCCGCAUCUUCUGCCACUGGAUAGGUGAUUUUUAAAAAAUUCAUCAUAGCUCAUCAGUGUUGGCUUUUGUGACGGGUGUGACUCAGUAUACCACCUUGUUUACACCAACCACCUCCCACCAGCUACUCCAUGUGAAUUGGUCAAGGCUAGUGAGUUGGGGAACAGGGCCCUGACAACAGAAACAGUAAAUUAAUCGAUGCUAUUGUGUAAUAAUACAAACAACAACAAUAAAACCCAGAAAAUCCACCAGUGGGAAAUCGCUAGAAGAAAUCAGUGACGCUUGGUCUAGAAAAGUGUUUUAUUUUUAGGCAGCCCCUCUUCACUCUUGGCACAAGAUACAACACCAGAUAUGCCCUUUCAACCUGGCAUCUUCAGGGAAAAUUACUCUGUUAACUCCAGAAAGAAAUUUUAUGAAGGGCUUCAAAUGGUUUUGCUUGGAUGAUUUAUUCCUUUCUGUCACUGACAAUAGAGCUAAUUUGCUUUAUCAAGCCCAGAACACAUGAUUUACUUCUGUACCAGACUUCCAACAGAGGCUAAUGAGAAAGAUCCCUGGCAGGGUUGGUGACUACAGAAAGCUUUCCCUCAGUGGUGCAGGCCUGGAGGAAGGAAGAGGUCUUGCAGGAAAAGCUGGAAACCCUACCUAGACCGCUGAUCCUGCAGAACAAACGCCACCAUCAGUCACUGAAGGAAAGGCAGCAAACUGUCACCCCCAGUGCACAGCUGAGGAAGACCCACUGCAGCUGGAGAUGGAUGGGAGAAAAAAAACCCACCCUCUACACUGCAGAUGAUGCCAGAUAUAAGUCUGACAGCAUACUGGCAUUUCUUCCCUUCUAAUGUCAUAUUGUAGAUCUUUUGCUCUUUUUAAAAAUAAUUUAUUAAUACAUAAAGCUGAAUUACUUCCUGGGCAAUGUAAUUUAAGUUUAGCUCUCAAAUAAAGGGCCAUAUCUUGCCAAGUGAUGUUGUUCUUACUCUUUAGACAAUCGCCUUCUUCACAAUUGCUGUAUAACCCCUUGGGCUUUUACUGUCAUUAUUUUUAAAAGUAUCAAUAAUUUUAAUGUCAAUGGCACAAUGACCAUCUACCUCAUUAUCAGUCUGCAUACUUACCCGAAUUUAUGUGUUCUGUGAUGAAUAUGAAAAUA